AAUCGUCUGAACAAGGCCUGCGCUUAAUUGCGCGGCCAGUUCUUGAUCCCUCUGCUAUCAGUUUUCUAUUUCUCAUCCUAAACACAAUGGAGUUUUUUCUCUAUGAACUACUUCCCUGGAGAGCUCGUCUCUCCAGUGGACAUAAACACAAACAAUAUUUUGUAUUAUGAAAAACUAUUAUACUAUAAAAUUUAAUAUUCAAAACUUUCAACAACGGAUCUCUUGGUUCUCGCAUCGAUGAAGAACGCAGCGAAUUGCGAUAUGUAUUGUGAAUUGCAGAUUUUCGUGAAUCAUCAAAUCUUUGAACGCACAUUGCGCCCUCUGGUAUUCCAGGGGGCAUGCCUGUUUGAGCGUCAUUUCUCUCUCAAACCUUUGGGUUUGGUAGUGAGUGAUACUCGUCUCGGGUUAACUUGAAAGUGGCUAGCCGUUGCCAUCUGCGUGAGCAGGGCUGCGUGUCAAGUCUAUGGACUCGACUCUUGCACAUCUACGUCUUAGGUUUGCGCCAAUUCGUGGUAAGCUUGGGUCAUAGAGACUCAUAGGUGUUAUAAAGACUCGCUGGUGUUUGUCUCCUUGAGGCAUACGGCUUUAACCAAAACUCUCAAAGUUUGACCUCAAAUCAGGUAGGAGUACCCGCUGAACUUAAGCAUAUCAAUAA
RNAcentral lists this ribosomal RNA (655 nucleotides) under Kluyveromyces marxianus. RNAcentral's name for it is "eukaryotic LSU rRNA". The stretch from base 203 to 356 matches the Rfam family "5.8S ribosomal RNA". The record is from RNAcentral. Lineage: Eukaryota; Fungi; Ascomycota; Saccharomycetes; Saccharomycetales; Saccharomycetaceae.